UUUCUUCGGAAUGAAGAUUUUGUGACUGAGUGGCGGACGGGUGAGUAACGCGUGGGUAACCUGCCUUGUACAGGGGGAUAACAGUUGGAAACGACUGCUAAUACCGCAUAAGCGCACGGUCUCGCAUGGGACAGUGUGAAAAACUCCGGUGGUGUGAGAUGGACCCGCGUCUGAUUAGCUAGUUGGUGGGGUAACAGCCUACCAAGGCGACGAUCAGUAGCCGGUCUGAGAGGGUGAUCGGCCACACUGGGACUGAGACACGGCCCAGACUCC
RNAcentral lists this ribosomal RNA (273 nucleotides) under uncultured Eubacteriales bacterium. Its description in RNAcentral is "uncultured Clostridiales bacterium partial 16S ribosomal RNA". It matches the Rfam family "Bacterial small subunit ribosomal RNA", at positions 71 to 339 of the family's 1533-position model. Lineage: Bacteria; Bacillati; Bacillota; Clostridia; Eubacteriales. The record is from RNAcentral.